AUUUUUCUAAAGUGCCUAUAAAUUACCAUAAACAUUUUUAAAUGGCAACACACGAUGCUAUAUUUUAUAGCACCAGAAAUGAUGAGAGAAUUAUUAAAAACAUUUUUCAUACUUGCACCAUGUGGAACCAACAGCGCUGCAGGUUGGCAGCUGGCAGAGUAUUCCUCAGUGCAUUGGUUAAUGCGGUUUCAUAGUCAGUAAUGAUGUUUGUUGCUUGAAUACCGCCUGGAAUAAGAUCCCUUACGUAUUCAAGCACGCACCGGUACGCGAUCUCGGUCUUCCUUGUCAUCAACACAAAUGCAACCGGAAAAGCCUAAGUAAACGCGAAAUGAAAACCACUGCUUCGCCAGCUUCUACACCUCCAUCUAUGUAGCCCCUAUACAACUCCUCGUUGCUAGACGUUAAAAAUAGAUGCCGGUACCUCGGGUCGGACAAAUUGCCCGCAUAUCCCAAGAGAGUCUGGGGUAUCGAUGGCUGAGCCUCGGCCCUGGCCCGUUCCAUAGUUCGCUUGAAGCUGGUGUACGCCAAUUGAGUGUUAACAUGGUUUAAUCUAAGUAUAGAAUAUGUAGGUAUUACUGUGUUAUUUCUUCAUCAUAAAUGACUUUAAGACUGGUCAAUUCUGUUGAACAACGAUGAAGAAUUUGGCUUUUUACACGUACAGCGGACAAAUAUUCCAUAUCAGGA
Molecule: long non-coding RNA, 684 nt
Organism: Adelges cooleyi (spruce gall adelgid)
Lineage: Eukaryota; Metazoa; Arthropoda; Insecta; Hemiptera; Adelgidae
Exons: 3
Source: RefSeq, a predicted model, not a curated record